UGGACAGGUCAGCUAUAGGACAGGAUAUAUGGAUAGAUCAGCUAUUGAACAGCACUAGUGGACAGGUCAGCUGUAGGACGGGACAUGUGGACAGAUCAGCUACGGUACAGGACAUGUGGACAGGUCAGCUGUAGGACAGGAUAUAUGGAUAGAUCAGCUAUUGAACAGCACUAGUGGACAGGUCAGCUAGAGGACAGGACAUGUGGAUAGAUUAGCUAUUGAACAGGACUUGUGGAUAGGUCAGCUAUAGGUCAGGACAUGUGGCUAGAUCAGAUAUGGAACAGGACUUGUGUCAGCUCAGGUUUAGGUCAGGUUUAGGACAGGACACGUCAGUUCAAAUAUUGGAAAGGACUUGUGGCCAGAUCAGCUAUAGGAUGGGACUUGUGGACAGGUCAUCUAUAGGACAGGACAUGUGGAUAGAUCAGCUAUUGAACAGUACUUGUGGACAGGUCAUCUAUAGGACAAGACAUGAGGAUACAUCAGCUAUUUAACAGGGCAUGUGGACAGGUCAGCUAUAGGACAGGACAUGUGAGGACAGGGCACAUUAUCAGUUCAGCUAUUGGAGAGGACUUGUGGCCAAAUCAGCUGUAGGACAUGUGUCCACAUCAGCUAUAUGAUGGGACUUGUUACAGGUCAGCUAUAGGUCAGGACUUGUGGACAGGUCAGCUAUAGAUCAGGACAUGUGGACAGGUCAGCUAUAGGUCAGGACUUGUGGACAGGUCAGCUAUAGGUCAGGACAUGUGGACAGGUCAGCUAUAGAUCAGGACUUGUGGACAGGUCAGCUAUAGGUUGGGACUUGUGGACAGGUCAGCUGUAGGACGGGACAUGUGGACAGGUCAGCUACGGUACAGUACAUGUGGACAGGUCAGCUGUAGGACGGGGCAUGUGGACAGAUCAGCUACGGUACAGGACAUGUGGACAGGUCAGCUGUAGGACGGGACAUGUGUACAGAUCAGCUACGGUACAUGACAUGUGGACAGGUCAGCUACGGUACAGGACAUGUGGACAGAUCAGCUACGGUACAGGACAUGUGGACAGGUCAGCUGUAGGACGGGACAUGUGGACAGAUCAGCUACGGUACAGGACAUGUGGACAGGUCAGCUGUAGGACGGGGCAUGUGGACAGAUCAGCUACGGUACAGGACAUGUGGACAGGUCAGCUGUAGGACAGGAUUUAUGGAUAGAUCAGCUAUUGAACAGCACUAGUGGACAGGUCAGCUAUAGGACAGGACAUGUGGAUAGAUUAGCUAUUGAACAGGACUUGUGGAUAGGUCAGCUAUAGGACAGGGCAUGUGGAUAGAUGAGCUAUGGAACAGGACUUGAGGACAGGUCAGGUUUAGGUCAGGUUUAGGACAGGACAUGUGAGGACAGGGCACAUUAUCAGUUCAGCUAUUGGAGAGGACUUGUGGCCAAAUCAGCUGUAGGACAGGACUUGUGGACAGGUCAUAUAUAGGACAGGACACGUGGAUAGAUCAGCUAUUGAACAGUACUUGUGGACAGGUCAUCUAUAGGACAAGACAUGAGGAUACAUCAGCUAUUUAACAGGGCAUGUGGACAGGUCAGCUAUAGGACAGGACAUGUGAGGACAGGGCACAUUAUCAGUUCAGCUAUUGGAGAGGACUUGUGGCCAAAUCAGCUGUAGGACAUGUGUCCACAUCAGCUAUAUGAUGGGAAUUGUUACAGGUCAGCUAUAGGUCAGGACUUGUGGACAGGUCAGCUAUAGGUCAGGACAUGUGGACAGGUCAGCUAUAGGUCAGGACUUGUGGACAGGUCAGCUAUAGGUCAGGACUUGUGGACAGGUCAGCUAUAGGUCAGGACUUGUGGACAGGUCAGCUAUAGGUUGGGACUUGUGGACAGGUCAGUUUUAGGUCAGGACUUGUGGACAGGCCAGCUAUAGGUCAGGACUUGUGGAAAGGCCAGCUAUAGGUCAGGACUUGUGGACAGG
This is a non-coding RNA of Oncorhynchus mykiss (rainbow trout), 1944 nucleotides long. Lineage: Eukaryota; Metazoa; Chordata; Actinopteri; Salmoniformes; Salmonidae. The record is from RefSeq and is a predicted model, not a curated record.